RNA transcript from Anastrepha obliqua, 2344 nucleotides. It is a transcript of the gene named superoxide dismutase [Cu-Zn], with no coding region annotated. The transcript has 5 exons. The record is from RefSeq and is a predicted model, not a curated record. NCBI's taxonomy places the organism in Eukaryota, Metazoa, Arthropoda, Insecta, Diptera, Tephritidae.
GUCAUUGUGUCCUAAAAAGGGUGUAACCAAACCAGCACAUAUGACCGUCAGGAGAGCACCUACUGCCACAUAAAGCAUAAAGGUCAUAUGGUCCUGUAUUCGUAGGCAUUGUGGAAUUGUCAAAAAUAUAUUUACAACCAUCUGUGGCGACUGGCUUUUCAGCGUAUUGUAUCUCGCCUUCGGCGAUUGCUAAUUGAGCCCGGAGGCAGAUCCAGGUAACUACGCAGGUCGAUGCAAUACUUCCCACCAAUGCACUCUACGAAUAUACAGAUAUACGGCAGAACAGUUAAUGAGACGAUAUUAAUAUGAAAAAAUUCUACUACCUUUCCAUUGAUCCAAGGCAGCAUCAAUCCAAUAAUAAAAAGGCCUAGCAAUGGGCCACUAGUUAUCGAUGCGAGAGUCAUUGUUAAUUGCAAUACUGUUCCCAUCCGCUCAACAACAAAAACUAAAAUCACACAUAGGACUCCCAUCAACACCACUGAAAGCCGCAUGACAAAUGCAAUUUGGCGUUCGGUCAAAGGAGUUUUUCUAAAGGGUUUAAUGUAGUCCUCAAGUAUAACUGCCGCUAAUGAAUUCAGACCAGUCGACAGUGAACUUAGUGCAGCACUGAAAACUCCCGCCACAAAUAGUCCUGCCAUUCCAGGAAAUACCCCUAAAGUAUCCAUUACCAAAAGCGGCACCAACUGAUCCUUCGCUUUAGCUAACUUUGUACUUAAUGGAUCGCAAUCGUGAUAUUUUCAGAUGAUGUUUUUAUGAAACCUAAUGAAAUUUCGAGUUUCUACAUGAAAACUUACCUCAUACGUUGAAGUUAGUUGGAGAUUGCAAAAUACCGGCAGGAACACAUACCACGAAAUUAUUCCGGAUAUCAGCAAUGUGAAGAGAAUGAAGGCGUACUGAGUGCCAUAUACAUAUAUUUCGGUUGAUGUUCCAAGCAGCGAAAUUCCCGAGACAAAGCUAAAAUUACAAAAUUUGGUGUUAAAGUGAAACAUCUAAGCGUGCACUUACAAUUCGAGCUACACACAUCGCCUUAUUGCCACAUGGCUAAAUUAAAUUGUAGUAAUGUGUUUUUGCAGCUGGUCUUACCAAGAUGCUCUUACAUUUUGAAGCAAUCAUUUACACCGCCAAGCCAAAGUUUAUUAUUAGGACUAAUAUAUAUAUAAUAUAAAAUAUAAACAUCUUAAAACUUUGUGCAAAUCAGUCUGGUGGUAAUCAAAGACCGCAACGAAAACGAUGUCUGCAGCAAACGCAUUACGCUCUGCCGUUGGGCCGUUAGGCAUUUCGUUAUUAUUGUUAUUCUCUUAAAAAGUAGCAGACUAAGUUUACACACGACUGUGCAUACAUAUGUAUGCACCACCCUGAUCAAAAAGCUCGCGGAAUAACCGCCGGGUGACGCUCUAAGUCGACUGAUUUGAGUUCUAUUUCGUCGCAUUUCUAUUUCGCAUCAUUACUGGAGGGGUUAUGAGUACGACAGGCAAAAGGUAGACAGGUAGACAUCAAACGAGUGAGUGGAGAACUCUGAAUGAACCAAGACCAAAAAACACGUCCUUGUCAUUCAAAAAACAAAGCGAUACUCACAGUAUGUAUGGAUUACGACGGUAUUGUACACCACGAAAUUUUGCCAGGCUAGACAGUUAAUAAGGACUAUUACUUUGGCGUUACGAGACGUUGCGUGAAGCAAUCUGCCAAUAUCGAAAAGACUUGUGGGAAAAUAACUCGUGCAUUUUGCACUAUGAUAACGCACCAACUCACAGUGCUCUGCAAAAUACCGGCAUUAUCCGCGAAUUUUUGACCAAGAAUGAAGCGAAUAUCAUCUAACAGCCAUCGGAUUCACCUGGUAUGGAACCUACUAUAGACAACACGUUUUAACAGCUGAAAGUAAGUAAUGGAAAAUCCGAAGACGGCUCUGAUGGCUAUACUGAAAAUAAAGUUCCAGAAAUGUUUCAAGAGCAGAAUCAAGCGCUGGCAUAAAUGCAUUGCAGUUGAUGUGGAGUACUUUGAAAGCGGUGGCAGGACAAAAAUAGCGGCAGACAUUCGAAAUGUACAAUAAAUUCCAUUAAACCGGUGAGUUGACCUUGAAUUCGAUGGACGGAUGGGCGUUCUGGGACUGCUCUAAGCAUAAAAGAUACGUGCGCAAAAUUAUCUCCUCAUUGCACGGCGACUUUACCGAAAUUUUGCGAAAAUGUUGCUUACUUCAUAUGGGAAAAGGUCGGGUCAAGUUAUACGCAACAACACAGUAUUCUUUAAAAAAAUACUAAAACAUUCAACAUACUAAAAUAAAUUUCCAGCGACCAAAUUUUGAAAGAAACUAUAUUUUUUUAUAAAAAAAUAGGGAGGAUGAGAGAUA